This 71-nucleotide transfer RNA is filed under the name Camelus dromedarius (Arabian camel). It matches the Rfam family "tRNA". Rfam says of the family: Transfer RNA (tRNA) molecules are approximately 80 nucleotides in length. Their secondary structure includes four short double-helical elements and three loops (D, anti-codon, and T loops). Further hydrogen bonds mediate the characteristic L-shaped molecular structure. tRNAs have two regions of fundamental functional importance: the anti-codon, which is responsible for specific mRNA codon recognition, and the 3' end, to which the tRNAs corresponding amino acid is attached (by aminoacyl-tRNA synthetases). tRNAs cope with the degeneracy of the genetic code in two manners: having more than one tRNA (with a specific anti-codon) for a particular amino acid; and 'wobble' base-pairing, i.e. permitting non-standard base-pairing at the 3rd anti-codon position. The record is from Rfam by way of RNAcentral. RNAcentral also lists the same sequence under 1 other name. Lineage: Eukaryota; Metazoa; Chordata; Mammalia; Artiodactyla; Camelidae.
AGGGAUAUAGCUCAGUGGUAGAGUGCCUGCUUAGUAAGCACGAGGUCUGGGUUCAAUCCCCAGUACUUCCA